Molecule: ribosomal RNA, 644 nt
Filed under: uncultured bacterium
Lineage: Bacteria
Description: bacterial SSU rRNA
Rfam family: Bacterial small subunit ribosomal RNA
Source: RNAcentral
AGAGUUUGAUCUUGGCUCAGAAUGAACGCUGGCGGCGUGCUUAACACAUGCAAGUCGAACGAGAAAUCUUUAGCUUGCUAAAGAGAGUACAGUGGCGCACGGGUGAGUAACGCGUGGGUAAUCUACCCUUGAGUCGGGGAUAACAUUGCGAAAGCGAUGCUAAUACCCGAUAACAUCCUGGAUGCUUCGGCAUUUGGGAUCAAAGAUGGCCUCUUCAUGAAAGCUAUUGAUUGAGGAUGAGCCCGCGUACCAUUAGCUUGUUGGUGGGGUAAAGGCCUACCAAGGCGAUGAUGGUUAGCUGGUCUGAGAGGAUGAUCAGCCACACUGGAACUGACACACGGUCCAGACUCCUACGGGAGGCAGCAGUGAGGAAUUUUGCGCAAUGGGGGCAACCCUGACGCAGCAACGCCGCGUGAGUGAUGAAGGCCCUUGGGUCGUAAAGCUCUGUCAAGUGGAAAGAAAUUACGGAUGGUUAAUACCCAUUUGUAUUGACGGUACCACUGAAGGAAGCACCGGCUAACUCCGUGCCAGCAGCGCGCAUACGGGGGUGCAAGCGUUAUUCGGAAUUAUUGGCGUAAGGCCGUAGCGCUUUGCAGUCAGAUGUGAAUCCGGGCUACCCGAAUUCUUGAAUGCAGGCUGAUAUG